RNAcentral lists this ribosomal RNA (216 nucleotides) under Penicillium glaucoroseum. RNAcentral describes it as "partial 28S ribosomal RNA". It matches the Rfam family "Eukaryotic large subunit ribosomal RNA", at positions 1 to 215 of the family's 3401-position model. Lineage: Eukaryota; Fungi; Ascomycota; Eurotiomycetes; Eurotiales; Aspergillaceae. The record is from RNAcentral.
UUGACCUCGGAUCAGGUAGGGAUACCCGCUGAACUUAAGCAUAUCAAUUAGCGGAGGAAAAGAAACCAACAGGGAUUGCCUCAGUAACGGCGAGUGAAGCGGCAAGAGCUCAAAUUUGAAAGCUGGCCCCUUCGGGGUCCGCAUUGUAAUUUGCAGAGGAUGCUUCGGGAGCGGCCCCCAUCUAAGUGCCCUGGAACGGGCCGUCAUAGAGGGUGA